This is a non-coding RNA of Paramuricea clavata, 600 nucleotides long. The record is from the annotation of a GenBank genome assembly. Lineage: Eukaryota; Metazoa; Cnidaria; Anthozoa; Malacalcyonacea; Plexauridae.
UUAAAAGACAACCAGUGAACCAAAUGAAAGUCAAAGUAGAGCUUUUGACAGUUCGGGAGAAAGCCCUGCGUACAAGUUAAUGUGAUGUUCUUUAUCGCCUUUGAGCAAAAUUUUACGCUCGAUUUACAUUGAAAGCAAAGAUUCAAGUCUCUCCUGAACCAUGGAUGAGCGAAUGCGAGGCUUCACCCUCUUGAGUGCAGAAAACGAACGCUCUGCAGUCGACUAACUAACUGGGAUGGCCACAGCAAUAGCAAAAACGCGACAGAGACUUGGAUACGCAUCAACCAAACUAUAAUCUGGGUUACAAAGGAGUGAAAGAGCUUCAGAGAAAGAUGGAACUUUUUUCUUCGAUUGUUUUUCAGCUUUCUUGCCGCCGCUGUCGCUCUGCUCAUUAUCUUACGUGCUUGAGAUUUCGUCGUCGUCCUCGUCAUCAUCAUCAUAACCAUCCGUUGUCCUCGCCGUCAUCAUCAUCAUAGUCAUCGUCGCCCUCGUCGUCUUCGCUGUCAUCAUCAUCAUCUUCUUGCUGGCAGACAGUUGAACAGUCGAAUUUCUCAAAAGAACGAACAAAAUUGAACAAUUCGUCAGCACAUCUAAACGCAU